UACGAAGGGUGCAACCGUUGCUCGGAAUCAUUGGGCGUAAAGCGCACGUAGGCGGCCCAGCAAGUUGGAUGUGAAAUCCCUCGGCUCAACCGAGGACGUGCAUCCAAAACUGCUGGGCUUGAGUACUGAAGAGGAUCGCGGAAUUCCCGGUGUAGAGGUGAAAUUCGUAGAUAUCGGGAGGAACACCAGUGGCGAAGGCGGCGAUCUGGGCAGAUACUGACGCUGAGGUGCGAAAGCGUGGGUAGCAAACAGG
Molecule: ribosomal RNA, 253 nt
Filed under: uncultured bacterium
Lineage: Bacteria
Description: partial 16S ribosomal RNA
Rfam family: Bacterial small subunit ribosomal RNA
Source: RNAcentral